AUUGAACGCUGGCGGAAUGCUUUACACAUGCAAGUCGAACGGCAGCACGGGGCAACCUGGUGGCGAGUGGCGAACGGGUGAGUAAUACAUCGGAACGUGCCCAAUCGUGGGGGAUAACGUAGCGAAAGUUACGCUAAUACCGCAUACGAUCUACGGAUGAAAGCGGGGGAUCGCAAGACCUCGCGCGAAUGGAGCGGCCGAUGUCAGAUUAGGUAGUUGGUGGGGUAAAGGCUCACCAAGCCAACGAUCUGUAGCUGGUCUGAGAGGACGACCAGCCACACUGGAACUGAGACACGGUCCAGACUCCUACGGGAGGCAGCAGUGGGGAAUUUUGGACAAUGGGCGCAAGCCUGAUCCAGCCAUUCCGCGUGCAGGAUGAAGGCCUU
RNAcentral lists this ribosomal RNA (386 nucleotides) under uncultured bacterium. Its description in RNAcentral is "bacterial SSU rRNA". It matches the Rfam family "Bacterial small subunit ribosomal RNA", at positions 30 to 418 of the family's 1533-position model. The record is from RNAcentral.